AUUGAACGCUGGCGGCGUGCCUAACACAUGCAAGUCGAGCGGUAACAGGUGUAGCAAUACAUGCUGACGAGCGGCGAACGGGUGAGUAAUGCUUUGGAAUCUUCCCAGUAGUGGGGAAUAACCAGUCGAAAGAUUGGCUAAUACCGCAUACGUCUGUAAAGGGAAAGCGGGGACUCGCCUCUUCUUCGGAAGAGAGGCCUCGCGCUAUUGGAUGAGCCAAAGCGGAUUAGCUAGUUGGUGGGGUAAUGGCCUACCAAGGCGACAAUCCGUAGCCGGUCUGAGAGGACGACCAGCCACACCGGAACUGAGACACGGUCCGGACUCCUACGGGAGGCAGCAGUGGGGAAUAAUUGGACAAUGGGGGAAACCCUGAUCCAGCGACGCCGCGUGUGUGAAGAAGGCCUGCGGGUUGUAAAGC
RNAcentral lists this ribosomal RNA (418 nucleotides) under uncultured bacterium. Its description in RNAcentral is "bacterial SSU rRNA". It matches the Rfam family "Bacterial small subunit ribosomal RNA", at positions 30 to 431 of the family's 1533-position model. The record is from RNAcentral.